GUCAGAUGAUUAGAAUACAUAAUGCUGAUCCUCUGUGAGGUAUGACAUAAUAUAGCAUAUUAGAUUUCUGAUACCC
Molecule: small nucleolar RNA, 76 nt
Organism: Echinops telfairi (small Madagascar hedgehog)
Lineage: Eukaryota; Metazoa; Chordata; Mammalia; Afrosoricida; Tenrecidae
Gene: SNORD28
Rfam family: Small nucleolar RNA SNORD28
About the family: U28 is a member of the C/D class of snoRNA which contain the C (UGAUGA) and D (CUGA) box motifs. U28 is encoded within the U22 snoRNA host gene (UHG) in mammals and is thought to act as a 2'-O-ribose methylation guide for ribosomal RNA.
Source: Ensembl